CUACAGGCUUAACACAUGCAAGUCGAGGGGCAGCAUGGUCUUAGCUUGCUAAGGCCGAUGGCGACCGGCGCACGGGUGAGUAACACGUAUCCAACCUGCCGUCUACUCUUGGACAGCCUUCUGAAAGGAAGAUUAAUACAAGAUGGCAUCAUGAGUCCGCAUGUUCACAUGAUUAAAGGUAUUCCGGUAGACGAUGGGGAUGCGUUCCAUUAGAUAGUAGGCGGGGUAACGGCCCACCUAGUCUUCGAUGGAUAGGGGUUCUGAGAGGAAGGUCCCCCACAUUGGAACUGAGACACGGUCCAAACUCCUACGGGAGGCAGCAGUGAGGAAUAUUGGUCAAUGGGCGAGAGCCUGAACCAGCCAAGUAGCGUGAAGGAUGACUGCCCUAUGGGUUGUAAACUUCUUUUAUAAAGGAAUAAAGUCGGGUAUGGAUACCCGUUUGCAUGUACUUUAUGAAUAAGGAUCGGCUAACUCCGUGCCAGCAGCCGCGGUAAUACGGAGGAUCCGAGCGUUAUCCGGAUUUAUUGGGUUUAAAGGGAGCGUAGAUGGAUGUUUAAGUCAGUUGUGAAAGUUUGCGGCUCAACCGUAAAAUUGCAGUUGAUACUGGAUAUCUUGAGUGCAGUUGAGGCAGGCGGAAUUCGUGGUGUAGCGGUGAAAUGCCUAGAUAUCACGAAGAACUCCGAUUGCGAAGGCAGCCUGCUAAGCUGCAACUGACAUUGAGGCUCGAAAGUGUGGGUAUCAAACAGGAUUAGAUACCCUGGUAGUCCACACGGUAAACGAUGAAUACUCGCUGUUUGCGAUAUACAGCAAGCGGCCAAGCGAAAGCGUUAAGUAUUCCACCUGGGGAGUACGCCGGCAACGGUGAAACUCAAAGGAAUUGACGGGGGCCCGCACAAGCGGAGGAACAUGUGGUUUAAUUCGAUGAUACGCGAGGAACCUUACCCGGGCUUAAAUUGCAGAUGAAUUACGGUGAAAGCCGUAAGCCGCAAGGCAUCUGUGAAGGUGCUGCAUGGUUGUCGUCAGCUCGUGCCGUGAGGUGUCGGCUUAAGUGCCAUAACGAGCGCAACCCUUGUUGUCAGUUACUAACAGGUUCUGCUGAGGACUCUGACGAGACUGCCAUCGUAAGAUGUGAGGAAGGUGGGGAUGACGUCAAAUCAGCACGGCCCUUACGUCCGGGGCUACACACGUGUUACAAUGGGGGGUACAGAGGGCCGCUACCACGCGAGUGGAUGCCAAUCCCCAAAACCUCUCUCAGUUCGGACUGGAGUCUGCAACCCGACUCCACGAAGCUGGAUUCGCUAGUAAUCGCGCAUCAGCCACGGCGCGGUGAAUACGUUCCCGGGCCUUGUACACACCGCCCGUCAAGCCAUGGGAGCCGGGGGUACCUGAAGUGCGUAACCGCGAGGAGCGCCCUAGGGUAAAACUGGUGACUGGGGCU
This 1438-nucleotide ribosomal RNA is filed under the name uncultured organism. RNAcentral describes it as "SSU rRNA". It matches the Rfam family "Bacterial small subunit ribosomal RNA". The record is from RNAcentral.